UACGGAGGGGGCUAGCGUUGUUCGGAAUUACUGGGCGUAAAGAGCUCGUAGGUGGUUUGUCGCGUUGUUCGUGAAAACUCACAGCUUAACUGUGGGCGUGCGGGCGAUACGGGCAGACUUGAGUACUGCAGGGGAGACUGGAAUUCCUGGUGUAGCGGUGGAAUGCGCAGAUAUCAGGAGGAACACCGGUGGCGAAGGCGGGUCUCUGGGCAGUAACUGACGCUGAGGAGCGAAAGCGUGGGGAGCGAACAGG
RNAcentral lists this ribosomal RNA (253 nucleotides) under uncultured bacterium. RNAcentral describes it as "partial 16S ribosomal RNA". It matches the Rfam family "Bacterial small subunit ribosomal RNA", at positions 524 to 776 of the family's 1533-position model. The record is from RNAcentral.